UACGUAGGGGGCAAGCGUUGUCCGGAUUUAUUGGGCGUAAAGAGCGUGUAGGCGGCCAAGCAGGUCCGCUGUGAAAACUCGAGGCUCAACCUCGAGACGUCGGUGGAAACCGUUUGGCUAGAGUCCGGAAGAGGAGAGUGGAAUUCCCGGUGUAGCGGUGAAAUGCGCAGAUAUCGGGAAGAACACCGGUGGCGAAGGCGGUCUGCUGGGCAGUAGCUGACACUGAGGCGCGACAGCGUGGGGAGCAAACAGG
RNAcentral lists this ribosomal RNA (253 nucleotides) under uncultured bacterium. RNAcentral's name for it is "partial 16S ribosomal RNA". It matches the Rfam family "Bacterial small subunit ribosomal RNA", at positions 524 to 776 of the family's 1533-position model. The record is from RNAcentral.